UACAGAGGCCUCGAGCGUUAGGCGGAAUCACUGGGCUUAAAGCGUGUGUAGGCGGACUGGUAAGUACCUUGUGAAAUCCCACAAGCUUAACUGUGGAACUGCUCGGUAUACUGCUGGUCUUGAGCCACUCAGGGGCUACCGGAACAAAUGGUGGAGCGGUGAAAUGCGUAGAUAUCAUUGGAACGCCAAUGGUGAAAACAGGUAGCUGGGGGUGUGCUGACGCUGAGACACGAAGCCAGGGGAGCAAACGGG
This 252-nucleotide ribosomal RNA is filed under the name uncultured bacterium. RNAcentral describes it as "partial 16S ribosomal RNA". It matches the Rfam family "Bacterial small subunit ribosomal RNA", at positions 524 to 776 of the family's 1533-position model. The record is from RNAcentral.